Molecule: ribosomal RNA, 253 nt
Filed under: uncultured bacterium
Lineage: Bacteria
Description: partial 16S ribosomal RNA
Rfam family: Bacterial small subunit ribosomal RNA
Source: RNAcentral
UACGUAGGGUCCGAGCGUUGUCCGGAAUUACUGGGCGUAAAGAGCUCGUAGGUGGUUUGUCGCGUUGUUCGUGAAAACUCACAGCUCAACUGUGGGCGUGCGGGCGAUACGGGCAGACUGGAGUACUGCAGGGGAGACUGGAAUUCCUGGUGUAGCGGUGGAAUGCGCAGAUAUCAGGAGGAACACCGGUAGCGAAGGCGGGUCUCUGGGCAGUAACUGACGCUGAGGAGCGAAAGCGUGGGGAGCGAACAGG